RNAcentral lists this ribosomal RNA (441 nucleotides) under uncultured bacterium. RNAcentral describes it as "partial 16S ribosomal RNA". It matches the Rfam family "Bacterial small subunit ribosomal RNA", at positions 338 to 795 of the family's 1533-position model. The record is from RNAcentral.
CCUACGGGAGACAGCAGUGGGGAAUCUUGGACAAUGGGCGCAAGCCUGACCCAGCGACGCCGCGUGGGUGAAGAAGUAUUUCGGUAUGUAAAGCUCUAUCAUCAGGGAAGAAAGAAGACGGUAGCUGACUAAUAAUCCCCGGCUAACUACGUGCCAGCAGCCGCGGUCAAACGAAGGGGGCGAGCGUUAGCCGGAUUCACUGGGUGUAAAGGGAGCGUAGAGUGGCGUGCAAGACAGGAGUGAAAGCCCGGGGCCCAAACCCGGGACUGCUUUUGGAACUGUGCGGCUGGAGUGCGGGAGGGGCAGGCGGAAUUCCUGGUGUAGCGGUGAAAUGCGUAGAUAUCAGGAGGAACACCGGCGGCGAAGGCGGCCUGCUGGACCGCGACUGACGUUGAGGCUCGAAAGCGUGGGGAGCGAACAGGAUUAGAUACCCUUGUAGUC